Molecule: long non-coding RNA, 1400 nt
Organism: Cavia porcellus (domestic guinea pig)
Lineage: Eukaryota; Metazoa; Chordata; Mammalia; Rodentia; Caviidae
Exons: 3
Source: RefSeq, a predicted model, not a curated record
UGAGGCCCGAAGAGUAGGAAUCUUUGAGGAUUUGAAAGAAACCAACUAUGAUUAGAAGUGGAACACAAUACAGGGAAGUAAAGCUAGCGUGGGUGUUGAGGGCUAGCAAGACUCUGUCAGAGUCUAUUUUUGCCCUACUGAGCAAUGAAAACCCAUUAAAAGGGUUUCAGAAAGGGGUGUUUUUGAAGCUUAAUUGGCUGCAGCACAAGGAACGGAACGAGAUGGAAGCUCAUCAGGAGGAAGAGCUGAGCCGUGCAGCGGAGGUUAUGGAAAACCCGUGCAGUUGCCUCUCUCCACUCAGGAUCUGAAAAGCAGUGGCAUUUGGGGCUUUCAAGACAGCAAAGCCAAAACAAAGCAGAGCUGCCUGAGUCCUUCCUAGACCAUGCUUCAAGUGCAAUAAAGAAGGACACUGGGCAAGAGAGUGCCCCAAUUCUGCUGUUCCUUUGAGGCCUUGCCCCUAUUGCAAUCUCAAGGGCCACUGGAAGAGUGACUGUCCUAGCCACCAGAGAGCAGUCUAAUGUGCAGGCAUUCACCAAUGAUGAAGUUGUUCUGGCUGAAACAUCUGGCACCAGCUUCUGCACGGGCAUCAACCAUCAUCCCAUCAACCUUUCUACAACCCAAUACAGCACCCCCUUUCAGCAGAAAAUAGUAAAAAAGAGACUUUGCCCUUUUCCUAACAAUACAAAGAUGGGAAUGAAAGGUACUUGCCUCAGUAGAAAUUAUGACGGUGGUCUAAUGAGGCAGAAGACCAAAGUGGGACGCCUACCACUUCCCACUUCUUCUCCAGCUCCUGUUUGCACAUGAUGAAAAAUCCAAUUGGCUGCUCGAGCAUCAACAAUGCUCACCCUAAGCGCCACCUCAGUGAGAAAUUAUAUGUAUAUGUCACACCCCACGUUUCCAGUAGAGAAAGCCAGGCGCUGGCGGUCAUGGAGUUCUUUCCAUGUCCUUAGAAUAAAAGCCAUUUUACUUUAUCUUCUCUCUUUUAUCGCCCCCAAAACCCUAUAAGGUGCCCAUAGAUAAGCAGAGAUUUGGUGGUGAUCUGUGGACACUAGGCAGUGAGGCAAGCCAAGUGUCCUCUUUCUACCUGCAACGAGGAGGUUGAGUGAAUGGGUUUGCAGAAAGAGGAGGAUCAAGCAAACAGGCAAAGAUAAAGAGAGAAGAGAACCUGUGUAGGCUGAGAAAGAAAGGAAGAGGAUGGAAGCUCUUCAAGUCCUCCGGCCUUCUGGUCCUUGUAAAGCGCAGGCCAACUAGCUUUAUAGCCACAGAUACCCUGAGUUCUGUUUCCUUGACCAAUGUGCACUUCCCUGAAACUAAAUUGCAAUUCUCUUUCCUUGUAACAAAAAAUGGUCUUAUGUAGAUGUUGGCAUCAUGAUUAAACAAUUUGACCUCUACAAAUUAAA